GAAGCUGACAAAGUUUCCUAUUUUCUACUAUCUGUGUUCUUCACUUGAAAGUCUCCUCUUGGGGGCUUGGCAAGCUGCUUCUCAGAACUGCAAGUCACACCUACCCAAAGGUGCAAACAUGAGACCUGUUUUGCAUUUGCAAUUGCUUGAGAAUUUUGGCAAAUUUUAAAUUCUCCCAACUACAGAAGAGGGGAAAAACCUGCCGUCAACUGCUGACACCUUGGAACUCCCUUUUUGAAGAGUGGUGGCUGAAUCAUGCCGGCUAUCAAGAGAUGAGGUAGCGGGAUCUGUUUCCAUCAUAAGAGUCUCAGGAGCCGUCCCAAACAGCUGCAUUCAGCUUGUUCUCCACUAAAGUAGAGACUUUACAAAGACGCAUAAAGAAAAACAAAGGAAGUCAAUGCAGUGAAAAGAGAAAUAAAUGCUAGGAACUCUUCCUUGCCUAUAAAGCUAAACGGAAUAAAAUUGGCCUCUGACAAAGCAGCUUGCUCUGGUGGGAUGUGUAGAGGAGAGGUCCCGAAAGGAGCCAUGCUUUGGCGUUGUGCCCAAAUAACAUCACAUGCUAGAUGGGUGAAUGUUUGUUGAAGGACUGAGUUAACAAAAAUAACUUUAAAAAUAAGAAUAAAACCUUUCGGCAGUAUUUUGUGGUUUUUGGAAAACUGCCAAAGAAAACUACGAAGUUGUAGGAUAGAGAGAGUGUUCUUUCCCUUUUCUUGAAAAUAUUUGUAUGUACUAAUGAAAACAACAACACUGAAACUUAAAGGGUAGACAAAUUUCUGGUUUUAAUAUAAACAAGGAAAGGGAAGGAUGAGAGCCUAAAGAAGACUGCAAUAGCGUGUCCAGGGAUUGCUUAAGGAGAGUUUGGAAUAACCAAAGUAGGAAAAGCAAAACAUUUCAAUUAUAUAAUUAUUAAAAGAACUUAAACGAACAUGUCUUUAGUAAGACCAUAGAAUAGCGGUACAAAUGGUAAAGUAAAUACAAACUCUGAGACACCAGAAAAAAAUGUUAAUGACUUUUAUAGAAAAAUGAAACAGCUGCUUGACUUGACAACAUCAUUUAAAGAAGACACAAAAGGAGGUUUUGAUAAACUGGAGAGCAGAUUUAACAAAUUGAAAAAAGAGCUCCAGGAUGUAAAGAAAGACUUAGCCUAGAUAAAAAAAAAUAGAAAUAGUGGUGAAGGAAAUAAAACAAGACAUGAAAGCUACAAAAGUCGAUUUGACAGUCCUGGACAGCAAAUCAAAGAUUAUGAAGAACCAAAUGGAAACAAUGCUAGACCAAUUCACUCUAAUGGAACAGAAAUAGAAGGAAAAUACCUUGAGAAUAAGAGGAUAUAAAGAAGACAAUAAAGAAGAUUCAAGAACAAUAUGAGAUGUUUCUGUAGCAAACGUUCUCCGAAUGGAGGAAGAGAAAAUGGAACAAGAAACUGAUACAAUUUCUAGAGUAAACACAAGAUUCACCAGAAAAAGAAUAACCUCCGGAGUUAUAAUCAUAAUUUUGUGAGGAAAACAAUUAGAGAUGAAAUAUUUAUGAAGCACUCAAGAGAGAGAUUUAAGAUCAAGGAACAGGAAGUAUCAGUCCUAAAAGAAAUCCCCAUACACAUCCUUUGCAAAAGAAACAAUUACAUGUCUUUUGUGCCAUGGCUGGGAGACAACCCCCCCCACACAAAUUUUAGAUGGAGUCAACUAGAGGGGAUUCUAAACCAGAUUUAGAAAUUAUAAAAUUAAAGAUUGGCCACUUCAAAAUAAAAAUAUAAGUGAAAAAAAUGUGAGGGGAAAAUAAGAUAAUUUUUUGCUUUGAACGAAAAAUCUACCCAGAAUAUCAAUUUAAUUUGGGAAACAAGCAAAGCUUUCAUAAGAGGGAUUUUUAGAGAACAGGAAAUAAUAUGCAAAAAAGCAAGAAGAGAUGAAGAUGGAAAGUUAAUGAAAGAAUUGGCAAAUUAUGAAGCAGAACUAAGAAAAAGAUCAGCUAAUAGAAAAAUUAUGAAAAAAAUUAGCAUGAUCAGAUCUAAAUUAGGACAAAAAUAUGGGAAAUGGAAAGAAAACUUAAAUACCUAAAACAAAAAGAAUUUGAAUGGGCUAACAAGCCAGGAAGAUGGUUGACCACUAGAUUAAGAAAAGAGAAAGACUCUAGAAUAAUAUCAAAACUUAGAGAUGGGAAAGAAAAGGUUUAUAAAAGAUGAUGAAAAGGU
Molecule: long non-coding RNA, 2185 nt
Organism: Sphaerodactylus townsendi
Lineage: Eukaryota; Metazoa; Chordata; Lepidosauria; Squamata; Sphaerodactylidae
Exons: 3
Source: RefSeq, a predicted model, not a curated record